This is a non-coding RNA of Ochotona princeps (American pika), 35 nucleotides long. The record is from Rfam. Lineage: Eukaryota; Metazoa; Chordata; Mammalia; Lagomorpha; Ochotonidae.
CUGUGUCUUGCUUCAACAGUGUUUGAAUGGAACAG